Molecule: unclassified non-coding RNA, 3766 nt
Filed under: Hevea brasiliensis (rubber tree)
Lineage: Eukaryota; Viridiplantae; Streptophyta; Magnoliopsida; Malpighiales; Euphorbiaceae
Source: RNAcentral
UUUUGGUCAUUUUAUAUUUGCAGGAACUUUCCUUUCUUUGUCCCUGUACAAAAUUGAAUGCUGCUUCUUUCACGUAUCGAAACCUAAAUAUGGUCAAAAUAGUCACAAUUGAUCUGCAGUUCCCUUCUCUACCAUUAACUGCAGAAUAAAAUCCAUACAGCUGAUCUGCAAUCACUUUUCUGAACUUUAUCUGGAUACAUCUGUCGUUCUUCCAUCGGCUACAUUCUUCCAUCUCCCCUGUUUCCCCUUCUCUGUCUCUGUCUUUGUUUUCUUCUCUCUGUGUUUCACAUGCAGAGAGGGGAAUAAAUAUUCAAUCUCUUUGUUUCUGAACAGCCCCUGCCAGUCCGAGAUUUCUCUCUCUGUGUAUAGGAAUGGAGUUAGUUCCUUACACAGACCCGAAUUCAAAGCCAGAAUCCUCUACCGUUCCAUGGCAGGACAUGUUCAGAUCCGCUUCAUUUCGCAAGCCUUCCACAACCAAUCCGGCAAAACCGCCUCCGAAUACAUCCAACACGCCACCGCGCGAGUCAAAUAACAAUAACCCAGAUCACAAUACUACCUUCUCAGGUGAUCCUCAGGUGCGCCUUGCUCUUUACAUAGCCAUGGCCCAUGCCGGCCUUGCCUUUACUAUAUUUGUUCUUUAUUUUGUGUGCAAGCUUUUGCAAGAGUAUUUGAGGCCUAUUCAAUGGGCUGUAUUGUGUUCUAUUCCUUUGAGAGGGAUACAAGAGACCCUUGUUGAUUUUUGGAGUGAGCCUUUGAAGCUAGGCCUUACUGAGACUGUUCUUGCAGUUCCUGUUGCCAUUUUUAAGGCUUUUGUAGGUACUAUUGGUGAUAUUAAGGAGGGUUUUUUAAGGGUUUUUCUUAAGAGGCCAAAAAGAGGGGGUCCUAGAAGAACUAGAAGAAGUGGAUUUUCAAAGUUAGUUAGGUGGUUAGUGUCAUUUGGGGUGUUUGUGAUAGCCUACGAGAGAAUUGGUGGUAUGGGGUCAUUAUUGAUUCUUGUUUUAGGGUUCAUGUGUAGUACCAAAACUGCGGGUUCUACAUUUUCUGCUGUAUCUUCUUUUAAGAGCAACAGCUUCAAGCGUACUGCAAUCAGUGCAUUUUUCACGAGAGGGAUUUUAAAGAGAUUGAAAACCAUUGUGGCAAUUGGAUUAAUUGUUGGUAUGAUUGUAGGGUUUUUGGCUGGAUUGAUCUUUUUCUCUUAUAAGAUUGGUGUUGAAGGGAAAGAUGCAGUCAUUUCAUUGAAAUCACACGUAGAAGAGAAUAAUUAUUCAGAAAGGUUUGGCAUUAAGAAGUGGAUGGAUGAGAAUGAUGUUCCUGGAAUGGUAGAUAAGUACACCACCACAGUCUAUGAAACAGUGUCUGAGCAAAUAGAUAGUUUGGCAAUGCAGUAUAAUUUGACGGAGCUUGUCACUGGGAUCAAGCAUUUUGUCAUCAGUCCUCCGGCAAAUUCCUCUGAGCAAUCAGCUGCGUUGAUUAGACCAUCACCCUACACAGAGAAGCUUGUAAAUUUAAGAACGAAAGUUACUAAUCAGGAAUGGGGGGAGAUUUAUACAGAAUUAGAUGCAAUUUUUAGGGAAUUGAUAAUCACCAGGGAGGAUCUUGUUGAGAAGGCAAAAGAGUUUGCUAUUCGAGGGAUGGAUGUGUCACAGCGUGUAUUUGCUAGUAGUGCAUCUGUUUUGGGCGGCAGCGCUAAACUCAUGUUCUCUGUUGGAAAUUCCAUCAUCUCUGGAGCGGCUGAGGUUCUUAAUUUUGUGUCUCAGUCAAUGGUGUUCUCCUGGGUUUUGUAUUAUCUAAUUACAUCAGAGUCUGGAGGGGUAACUGAACAAGUAAUGUGCAUGGUUCCAAUUCCAAAAGCAGCAAGGACUAAGUGUAUUGAUGUUCUUGACAAUGCUAUUUCUGGAGUUCUGUUGGCUACUGCUGAGAUUGCAUUCUUCCAAGGUUGCCUCACAUGGCUUUUAUUUAGACUGUAUAACAUUCACUUCCUGUACGUAUCAACUGUGCUGGCAUUCAUCAGCCCUCUGCUUCCAAUCUUUCCACCUUGGUUUGCAACAAUUCCAGUCGCUGUGCAACUGGUGCUAGAGAGUAGAUAUGUACUGGCUAUUAGCUUGUCCAUUAUUCACGUUGUGCUUAUGGAUUAUGGUACAUCUGAAAUUCAGGAGGAUAUACCUGGUUACAGUGAAUAUCUUACUGGGCUCAGCAUUAUUGGUGGAAUGACAUUGUUCCCAUCUCCAAUGGAGGUAGCUUCUUAUGCCUAUGUCUAAUGUCCAUUUAUGUUGAUUUCUCCUUAAUUUGCUGCUUUAAGAUGCUUUUACGCCCACUUUUUCAUCCUCAAACAGAGCAUUGUCUCUGUGUCUAUCUGAACACGUGUAUAAGUGUGAUAAAAUGAACAUUUAAUAGUUAGUUCACUCGUAAAGUAUACCUUGCCUAAAAUAUUGGCCCAAUCUUAACUCAUAUGGUAAGGUUAAUAAUUUGAUAUGGAAUCUACAUUUGGUGCUGCAAUCUAUAUGAUUCAAAGGUCUGAGUCUGACCAAUUCCUUAUGGAUGAAAAUUUGAUCCUGAAUUCCUGAUAAAUGAUCCUGUUUUAUGCUAAAGAAGCUGUGGUAUUUAAAACAGGAUUUCUGCUAUCUAGUUCACACAGCACGAUAUGUUAAUAAUCACUAAGGGAUAGUUUGAUAUAACUAAUAGCAAACUCCACUGGGUUGAUUCAGUGGUAAGGUUUUCUUAGUUCAGGUGUGAAUUCCUCUGCCAACUCCCUGAGUAACUAGCUCAAGGACUUCUAUUUUGAAAAGUUAAUGAUAUAUAGGACCUAAAAGAGAUCCAACUUAGAGCACCCGCAAGUUUGAAUUGAUAAUCAAUUGUAAUGAUCUCAUCAGCCUGGUUGAGCUUGAGCAGCAGUCAUAAACAUUUUAAAAACACCUAUUUUGUUAUUUGAUAAUAUUUCCUCUGGUAGAGGUACAGGGGCAUUUUUUUUUUCUCUUUUCAAUGGUGAAAUCUGAUAGCAUUUCUUAAUUAUAAUGAAAGGACCCAAUUAUCAUCAAGAAAAUGGCAGAUGCAAUUAUCAUGCAUUUGCUUUGAUAUUGUGUUUAUAUACACCAGUUUCCCUUCUAUUUUUUGUUAAAAAUUUGUCUGGAUGAAACUUGGUAGCAUUCCUAUCCAAGAACAGGUCAUAUUAUGGUGAUAGAAGAUACAUACAAUUAUUGAAAUUGUGUUUUACUUAAUUUCAUAAUGUUUUUCCUAUUAUUUGAACCUAUUGUUUGGCAGGGAGCAAUAAUGGGGCCAUUGAUAACCACUGUUGUGAUUGGUCUCAAGGAUUUGUAUGCUGAAUUUGUUCUGGACGAACAUGAGAAAAAUGAUUAGCAAAAUGAAGUCUGAAACUCUGCCAGUUCCACCUUCCAAUUCUGUUGCUUUCAACCUGUGAACUGAUUGCUGUACAUUAGUUUGAGCCACUUUCAGCAGAGGCACAUGGCUCGGCCAUUCUCUUCCCACACCAUUUUUUUUUUGGCAAUGUCUUCCUACACCAUUCAAUUGUAGUUUGGUUUCUUUCUUGGUAAGACAGAUGCCUAUUUUGCAUUUUCUUGGUUGUUAGCAGCAUCAUGUAAGUUAAAUUGUACAUUUUUUUUCCAUGCAUUUAGUGCCCUAAGAUUUUGUGGAAUGCCGUAUUGAAGUUGUGAUGUAUUUAUGAGAAUCUUUAUUGUUGUAAGUUCAUAAUCGCAUGGCCCGAAUUCUACUGCCUCAAAUAGACAUUACAUUCUAUAUAUUUCAAUUUCUG